RNAcentral lists this ribosomal RNA (496 nucleotides) under uncultured bacterium. Its description in RNAcentral is "partial 16S ribosomal RNA". It matches the Rfam family "Bacterial small subunit ribosomal RNA", at positions 29 to 507 of the family's 1533-position model. The record is from RNAcentral.
AUGAACGCUGGCGGCGUGCCUAAUACAUGCAAGUCGCGCGAACAGACGAGGAGCUUGCUCCUCUGACGUUAGCGGCGGACGGGUGAGUAACACGUGGAUAACCUACCUAUAAGACUGGGAUAACUUCGGGAAACCGGAGCUAAUACCGGAUAAUAUAUUGAACCGCAUGGUUCAAUAGUGAAAGACGGUUUUGCUGUCACUUAUAGAUGGAUCCGCGCCGCAUUAGCUAGUUGGUAAGGUAACGGCGUACCAAGGCAACGAUGCGUAGCCGACCUGAGAGGGUGAUCGGCCACACUGGAACUGAGACACGGUCCAGACUCCUACGGGAGGCAGCAGUAGGGAAUCUUCCGCAAUGGGCGAAAGCUUGACGGAGCAACGCCGCGUGAGUGAUGAAGGUCUUCGGAUCGUAAAACUCUGUUAUUAGGGAAGAACAAAUGUGUAAGUAACUAUGCACGUCUUGACGGUACCUAAUCAGAAAGCCACGGCUAACUACGUG